AAGUGGCUAGUCUAACCGCAAGGAGGACGGUCACCACGGUAGGAUUCAUGACUGGGGUGAAGUCGUAACAAGGUAGCCGUAUCGGAAGGUGCGGCUGGAUCACCUCCUUUC
RNAcentral lists this ribosomal RNA (111 nucleotides) under Burkholderia territorii. RNAcentral's name for it is "partial 16S ribosomal RNA". It matches the Rfam family "Bacterial small subunit ribosomal RNA", at positions 1424 to 1533 of the family's 1533-position model. RNAcentral also lists the same sequence under 2 other names. Lineage: Bacteria; Pseudomonadati; Pseudomonadota; Betaproteobacteria; Burkholderiales; Burkholderiaceae. The record is from RNAcentral.